Molecule: transfer RNA, 73 nt
Filed under: Phycisphaerae bacterium
Lineage: Bacteria; Pseudomonadati; Planctomycetota; Phycisphaerae
Description: tRNA-His
Rfam family: tRNA
About the family: Transfer RNA (tRNA) molecules are approximately 80 nucleotides in length.
Source: RNAcentral
GCGAUCGUAGCUCAGUUGGUAGAGCACCGGGUUGUGAUCCUGGAUGUCGCGGGUUCAAGCCCCGUCGGUCGCC